AUGAAAGAACACUUUGAUGCUCACAACGUGAGUGGAAUUGACCGCUCCGAGAGAUCACUUCGGUCUCGAUGGUCGACAAUCAACUCGGAUUAUCAAAAGUGGGCGGCCGCACAAAAGUCGGUUGACAAGUUGAACCCAAGUGGCACAAAUGAGGACGAUAGAAACUUGUUCAAAGAAGAGGAGAGGACAACCAAGAUGGGGAAGAUCAAGAAAGGAAGGAUCUUUACGUUGCCUCAUUGCUAUGAAGUGUUGAAGGAUGAUGAGAAAUGGAAGAAGCGUGAUGGUUUGGAUGAUUUGCAUUUGAGCAACAAACGCAAGCGAACAAUUGAGUUGAAUGAUGAUGAGGAGGAGGAAGAGGAUGAUGCAUCAAGUGAUGACGACAAGAAAAGCCCCACACCCAACUCGGUUUCAUACUCGAAGCCAAAACGACCGGAUGGGUGCAAGAAAGACAAAACCGAAAAGAAGAAGAGGAAAGGAGAUGAUGAACUCAAAAAUGCUAUGGAAGCUAUUGUGAAGGCAAGAAAAGAAGCCAACGAGGUGAGGAAAAUGCAAAAUCACUAA
This 561-nucleotide ribosomal RNA is filed under the name Triticum aestivum (bread wheat). Its description in RNAcentral is "partial small subunit ribosomal RNA". Lineage: Eukaryota; Viridiplantae; Streptophyta; Magnoliopsida; Poales; Poaceae. The record is from RNAcentral.